Dreissena polymorpha is the source of this 589-nucleotide long non-coding RNA. RefSeq lists it as uncharacterized. The record is from RefSeq and is a predicted model, not a curated record. NCBI's taxonomy places the organism in Eukaryota, Metazoa, Mollusca, Bivalvia, Myida, Dreissenidae. The transcript is spliced from 3 exons.
GACAUUGAACUAUUACAAAAAAUCUAAUCCUUUGACCCCCAAUUUUCUCCAUUGCUGUUUAGUACUUGGUAAGUUACCAAUGUAAAAACAUGGUUUCCAGGCACCUUGCUUCUGCAGGAAAGUGGCAGUUUGUUGUUGAAACUGGCUUAAAAAGGCUCGGAAACACACAUAAUUCUGAUGUUUUGAUUUGAAAUAAUCAAUACUAAAACAUUUUGCCCCAACUCAUUUGAUUUGAAUGUUACUGAUUUUUCAGAAGGCACAGCCUCAACCAUUCUGGCAAUGUGCUUGGUUUAUUUUCAGAUUUGCGAGGUGACCAGUUUCCAGACAUUGGUUCGCUCCUGCUUGUGUACGCGAUUGGCCGAGACUAAAAAAACUGUAGUGUGCCACCUUAAGGUUUUAGUCGUUUGCUUGUAAGGCAAGAUGGUCCCUGGAGAAGAACUAAAAUACGUCAACAGCCUUGUCAGCGGAAAGACACUCCGUUGCAGUAACUGAAGAUUUGCGAGGUGACCAGUUUCCAGACAUUGGUUCGCUCCUGCUUGUGUACGCGAUUGGCCGAGACUAAAAAAACUGUAGUGUGCCACCUAUAUAU